Molecule: ribosomal RNA, 198 nt
Filed under: uncultured bacterium
Lineage: Bacteria
Description: partial 16S ribosomal RNA
Rfam family: Bacterial small subunit ribosomal RNA
Source: RNAcentral
ACGCUCGACACCUACGGGAGGUAGCAGUGGGGAAUAUUGCACAAUGGGGGAAACCCUGAUGCAGCAACGCCGCGUGAGUGAAGAAGUAUUUCGGUAUGUAAAGCCCUAUCAGCAGGGAAGAUAAUGACGGUACCUGACUAAGAAGCUCCGGCUAAAUACGUGCCAACAGCCGCGGUAAUCUGAGCGGGCUGGCAAGGC